Suncus etruscus (white-toothed pygmy shrew) is the source of this 105-nucleotide small nuclear RNA. The record is from RefSeq and is a predicted model, not a curated record. Lineage: Eukaryota; Metazoa; Chordata; Mammalia; Eulipotyphla; Soricidae.
GUGCUCGCUUCAGCAGCACAUAUACUAAAAUUGGAAUGAUACAGAAUAUUAGCAUGGCCCCUCUGCAAGGAUGACAUGCAAAUUCGUGAAACAUUCCAUAUUUUU